RNAcentral lists this ribosomal RNA (492 nucleotides) under uncultured bacterium. Its description in RNAcentral is "partial 16S ribosomal RNA". It matches the Rfam family "Bacterial small subunit ribosomal RNA", at positions 29 to 507 of the family's 1533-position model. The record is from RNAcentral.
AGUGAACGCUGGCGGUAGGCCUAACACAUGCAAGUCGAACGGCAGCACAGUAAGAGCUUGCUCUUACGGGUGGCGAGUGGCGGACGGGUGAGGAAUACACCGGAAUCUACUUUUUCGUGGGGGAUAACGUAGGGAAACUUACGCUAAUACCGCAUACGACCUACGGGUGAAAGCAGGGGAUCUUCGGACCUUGCGCGAUCGAAUGAGCCGAUGUCGGAUUAGCUGGUUGGCGGGGUAAAGGCCCACCAAGGCGACGAUCCGUAGCUGGUCUGAGAGGAUGAUCAGCCACACUGGAACUGAAACACGGUCCAGACUCCUACGGGAGGCAGCAGUGGGGAAUAUUGGACAAUGGGCGCAAGCCUGAUCCGGCCAUACCGCGUGGGUGAAGAAGGCCUUCGGGUUGUAAAGCCCUUUUGUUGGGAAAGAAAAGCAGCGGGUUAAUACCCCGCUGUUCUGACGGUACCCAAAGAAUAAGCACCGGCUAACUUCGUG